Molecule: ribosomal RNA, 497 nt
Filed under: uncultured bacterium
Lineage: Bacteria
Description: partial 16S ribosomal RNA
Rfam family: Bacterial small subunit ribosomal RNA
Source: RNAcentral
GAUGAACGCUGGCGGCGUGCCUAAUACAUGCAAGUCGAGCGAACAGAUGAGGAGCUUGCUCCUCUGACGUUAGCGGCGGACGGGUGAGUAACACGUGGAUAACCUACCUAUAAGACUGGGAUAACUUCGGGAAACCGGAGCUAAUACCGGAUAAUAUAUUGAACCGCAUGGUUCAAUAGUGAAAGACGGUUUUGCUGUCACUUAUAGAUGGAUCCGCGCCGCAUUAGCUAGUUGGUAAGGUAAUGGCUUACCAAGGCAACGAUGCGUAGCCGACCUGAGAGGGUGAUCGGCCACACUGGAACUGAGACACGGUCCAGACUCCUACGGGAGGCAGCAGUAGGGAAUCUUCCGCAAAGGGCGAAAGCCUGACGGAGCAACGCCGCGUGAGUGAUGAAGGUCUUCGGAUCGUAAAACUCUGUUAUUAGGGAAGAACAAAUGUGUAAGUAACUAUGCACGUCUUGACGGUACCUAAUCAGAAAGCGACGGCUAACUACGUG